RNAcentral lists this ribosomal RNA (254 nucleotides) under uncultured bacterium. Its description in RNAcentral is "partial 16S ribosomal RNA". It matches the Rfam family "Bacterial small subunit ribosomal RNA", at positions 524 to 776 of the family's 1533-position model. The record is from RNAcentral.
UACAGAGGUGGCAAGCGUUGUUCGGAAUUACUGGGCGUAAAGGGCGCGUAGGUGGCCUUCUUAGUCAGACGUGAAAUCCCCCAGGCUUAACCUGGGAACUGCGUCUGAUACUGGAAGGCUCGAGUUCGGGAGAGGAAUGUGGAAUUCCAGGUGUAGCGGUGAAAUGCGUAGAUAUCUGGAGGAACACCGGUGGCGAAGGCGGCAUUCUGGACCGAAACUGACGCUGAGGCGCGAAAGCCAGGGGAGCAAACGGG